CCCAACCACCGCUCCACCUCAUCCCCCUCGUCGGCGACGCGGCCCCGCCGGCAGAAGACCGCGGCGCAGCUUCCGUCCGCUCGCCGCUCGCCGCUCGCCGCCCGAGUAGUGGCAGGCACCGCGAGCGCGAGGUAUUUGUCCUGUCCACGUCGCUACUUUACGGAACGGCUCCGCUACGUACGCAUUCUCUCCCUCCCGGGCGGCACGGCGUCGUGUGUCCGGUGGCAAACUAAUUGUGGCCGUGCCCGUGCGCGGCCGCUCGCCGGCGCCGCCGUGGCUGUACUUAUUCCUUGCUUCUUCACGGGCCGGGCAGGAGAAAGCAGUACUAGCUGGUUGCGGUGCCAACUUAACUGGCGUGGAAAGUGGAAACCAGACAUUGCCUGCAGUAGUUCCUGAGUACUGCUUGUCAUAGUCCAUUGCUUUGGACUGCAAUACGGCCGCCGAUUUACUUGGAUGGCGCGGUUAGUUUCUGCUUUAUUCUCGAGCUGCACAUCUGAAGAGCCACACAUUUUUUAGGGUGAAAGCAGGUCCAAGAAGAGGGGAAUGCAUAUACAACUUUCCUGAACAUCACUAACUGUUGUUGCAAUGUAUCUGAACUAAAAAUUCUUACCACCAGAUUUCCUAUGUAAGUACCUAAAUGCUCGUCACAUAUCUGUGUUGGGCAAAUAUUCAUUGAUAAACUUG
Molecule: long non-coding RNA, 684 nt
Organism: Triticum dicoccoides
Lineage: Eukaryota; Viridiplantae; Streptophyta; Magnoliopsida; Poales; Poaceae
Exons: 3
Source: RefSeq, a predicted model, not a curated record